CCUACGGGGGGCUGCAGUAGGGAAUCUUCCGCAAUGGACGAAAGUCUGACGGAGCAACGCCGCGUGAGCGAAGAAGGUCUUCGGAUCGUAAAGCUCUGUUGUCGGGGAAGAACAAGUACGGCAGGAAAUGGCCGUACCUUGACGGUACCCGACGAGAAAGCCACGGCUAACUACGUGCCAGCAGCCGCGGUAAUACGUAGGUGGCAAGCGUUGUCCGGAAUUAUUGGGCGUAAAGCGCGCGCAGGCGGUCCUUUAGGUCUGAUGUGAAAUCUUGCGGCUCAACCGCAAGCGGUCAUUGGAAACUGGAGGACUGGAGUGCAGAAGAGGAAAGCGGAAUUCCAGGUGUGGCGGUGAAAUGGGUAGAGAUGUGGAGGAACGCCAGUGGCGAAGGCGGCUUUCUGGUCUGUAACUGACGCUGAGGCGCAAAAGCGUGGGGAGCAAACAGGAUUAGAUACCCUUGUGGUC
RNAcentral lists this ribosomal RNA (465 nucleotides) under uncultured bacterium. Its description in RNAcentral is "bacterial SSU rRNA". It matches the Rfam family "Bacterial small subunit ribosomal RNA", at positions 338 to 795 of the family's 1533-position model. The record is from RNAcentral.